Molecule: ribosomal RNA, 426 nt
Filed under: uncultured bacterium
Lineage: Bacteria
Description: bacterial SSU rRNA
Rfam family: Bacterial small subunit ribosomal RNA
Source: RNAcentral
UGGGGAAUUUUCCGCAAUGGGCGAAAGCCUGACGGAGCAACGCCGCGUGAAUGAAGAAGUCCUUCGGGAUGUAAAGUUCUUUCAGCAGGGACGAGUCGAAGACGGUACCUGCAGAAGAAGCAUCGGCUAACUACGUGCCAGCAGCCGCGGUAAUACGUAGGAUGCAAGCGUUGUCCGGAAUUAUUGGGCGUAAAGCGUACGUAGGCGGUUUGUUAAGUCAGGGGUUAAAGACCGAGGCUCAACCUCGGGAGUGCCUUUGAUACUGGCAGACUGGAGGACGGCAGAGGAAAGUGGAAUUCCCAGUGUAGCGGUGAAAUGCGUAGAUAUUGGGAGGAACACCAGUGGCGAAAGCGACUUUCUGGGCCGUUCCUGACGCUGAGGUACGAAAGCGUGGGGAGCAAACAGGAUUAGAUACCCCUGUAGUCC